Molecule: long non-coding RNA, 528 nt
Organism: Rhineura floridana
Lineage: Eukaryota; Metazoa; Chordata; Lepidosauria; Squamata; Rhineuridae
Exons: 3
Source: RefSeq, a predicted model, not a curated record
GUGAAACCUGACUGUUGGGGAAAGGCUGUAGCCCAGUGGCAGAGCACCUGCUUUGCAUGCAGAAAGCCCCAGGUUCAAUCCCCAACGGCAUAUCCAGAGAACAACCAACCAACAAAGAACUAUGUGGUCAUGCUGCUGCAGGAACCCAGUGAGUUUGUCGGUGGGAUGUUUAAAUUGAGGAAGAAAUAAAUAUUUUCCCAAGACUGAACGUUGAGAUGCAAAGUGUUGGCAGAACAUCACUAAAAACACAACCACAGGCAACAGUAUCCACGGCAAUCAGCUGCAUGUGAAGGCACGUUUGCCAAGAUGUUGAGUUCAGGACUGGUGGCAUGACGGCUGUGUAUUUCUCCAUGGGCAUGCUUCCCCUUUAAGGCCAGGACUGCGCUGUCUUUAUUUGCUUGUUGAAACUGUUCAGUUUUAGGACAUGGGGGGAGAUCACACCUGUUGUGGAACUUGAUAGAAGGCUUAUUUAUAAACUUUCGGAGCUUGAGAUUCUUGCAGAGCUGAAAAUGCUGAUGUCCGGAGGGG